This 764-nucleotide long non-coding RNA is filed under the name Aotus nancymaae (Ma's night monkey). RNAcentral's name for it is "lncRNA (ENSANAG00000039317.1)". Lineage: Eukaryota; Metazoa; Chordata; Mammalia; Primates; Aotidae. The record is from RNAcentral.
AAAUUUAAAAUCACUUAAUGAAAUAAUUUUAUUUUGUUAAAAAGUUAUUUUGGGAUUUGGGGGCUAUGCUCUCAUUUUUUUUUCUUGAGUUUGGCUGAAAGACUGAUAUCUACAUACUGUAAAUAGGAAAAUAUUGAAAAUGUAUUAUUAGGAAUCUUCAUGAAUGAUGGUUUAGCAUUUUGAAAUAGUUCCUGUAAUAUUUUUAAAGUUUUAAAAAUUAUUAAAAGAUAUUGACAAGAUCUGCCCUCAAAAUCAUUUAAACUCAUGAUAAUUUAAACUUUCAGGCAAUAUUUCAGUAUUGAAAGGAUCAAGCUUCCCUGACAUCUUUCAGUAUUCUCUAACACCCUCAAUUUGUUUACUUCUUUGUAUCAAAUAACCAUCAAAGCAAUUACCAAAUCACAUAGCCUUGAAGCAACUUAGUGAAGUAAUUUAACAUCUUUUUGUAUCAUAGACAGAAGCCAAUUUUCAUCAGAGCCUAAAAUCAAUCGUGUCUUUGUAACUGUUCCACUACCAUCCUAUCGUAGAAUAAACUACAGGAUACAGAUGAUCAAGUGCAAGAAGCAGUAUUUCAGAACAUCUCCAUCUGGUCCUCCUCCACAAGGCCUUAGGUAUCUUUCAGGUGGAAUAUUCUUCCUCAACACCUAGUGUAAAUAGAUGAACCCUAGGAUAUCCCAGUACUACCGUUUGUGACUGAGGUUUCUCUGAUGCUGGCUCCAUCUAACUUUUUAUGUAGCUGGAGAUGGAAUGAAAAAACCAAAACAUGU